CUGACCUCAAAUCGGGUGAGACUACCCGCUGAACUUAAGCAUAUCA
This 46-nucleotide ribosomal RNA is filed under the name Lactifluus heimii. RNAcentral's name for it is "partial 28S ribosomal RNA". Lineage: Eukaryota; Fungi; Basidiomycota; Agaricomycetes; Russulales; Russulaceae. The record is from RNAcentral.